UUUCUUCUUACCUCAUGUGCUUUUCCAGAAGCUAUUUGAUGAUCCAAAGGAUGAUGACUUGCUAUUUGUGUUUUGGUUGUAAUUCUACAGAGUAAAUGACCUAAGGGUACAAACUUAAACUCAACAUCCAUACUUUGUGGUUACAUUGUGAGCAGGUGCCCUGCAUUCUGAAGUUACCACGGAGUUUUCUGCUUUUGCUGCUCCUGCAGAUGCAACCUUUUCAAUGCCGGUGGAUGUUAAGAGAAAUUCUACCGUCGUUUUUGGUCGAAUAAAAGGUCUUGUUCUUGUUCUAUAUAAUCUUGCAAGAAUGUAUCAGGCGGAACAGAAAGCAAAUUUGUGGAUCUGUCUCCAACACAUACAAGUAAUUUUUCAUCCCGACGACGUUCA
Long non-coding RNA from Pyrus x bretschneideri (Chinese white pear), 387 nucleotides. RefSeq lists it as uncharacterized. Lineage: Eukaryota; Viridiplantae; Streptophyta; Magnoliopsida; Rosales; Rosaceae. The record is from RefSeq and is a predicted model, not a curated record. The transcript is spliced from 2 exons.